AACCGAAGCGUUCUGGCGCCACCCUGUCUCACCUCCGCUUUUUCUCCAGUUGUAAAAGUUCAUCUCUGUCUCUCUGUGCUCGACACUCCCUCCGGUCUAGGACUACAAUCUAAUCUUCCAGCACAGCGCACGGUUUUUGGCUCUUUCGUUGUCUGUCUGUCUCAGUCGGACUUUACCACGACCACGAUUUUCUCUCUCCCUUCUCCUCCCUCAUCUGGCCGCUCAAAUUGCACAUACAUACAUCCCCCCUCCCUCUCUCUCUCCCUCCCUCUUUGGGUUUGUGUGCGUGUGCCACUCGCACUCUAUUUCUCUCAUCAUUAUCAGCAUCGUCGACAGGACUCGAAGAGGAGUAGCAUAUCAGCAGUGUUCUUUGUGUUCUUCCCCACCGCCCUUUUCUUGUUUGUCCCCUCCCCUCUCCUCUCUUCCCUCUGUUCCCUCGCGCUUCAUCUUUUAGCUUCACUCGUUUCGUUUCCUUUAUUGUUCUGUUUUCUUUUUUUUUUACCUUUUCUUUUUAUUGUUUGAUUGUUUUUUUCUUUUCUUUGGUUGCUCUUCUUUCCUCUCUCUUUUGGAGCUUUCCUUUCUGUGUGCGUGCGCUUGUGUGUGUGUGUGUGCUGUUUCGUUUUCUCUUUGGCCAGCCCACGCCACCCCUGUCCCUUCCCUCCCCGUCUUCCUUUUUGUGGUUGUUGUGCUUGGCCCUUCUCUUUCCAUUUUUUUCUGUGCUUUCUCGUUCCCUUUCGUAUUUCGAUCUUCUUGUUCGUUAGUGUCGAUCUGACGUCCUCGUCGUUCAUCCGGCUCCUUCUCACAAUCUUACCCCCUCCCUCCCUACCUCUGUGCUGCGCUUUUUCACACACCACUGCCACGAUUUUCCUUCUCUGCGUUUCUCAUUUGCGAAGUUCCCUUGCUUUUCUCUCUUUUCCGACUCCCUCACGGUAUACACAGAACACGAGGAGAGAAUAGGAAGAAAAUCAAUCAAAACGUUGAUGUCAAGCGCAUUUUGAAAAGCCUCGCCGUUUUUCUGCAUUCUUCUCUCUUUUCUUGCCUCUCCCCCUUUACUUCGGAAAUACAACCCUUUCUCGCCUGUAGCGUGUCUACUCUGGUUCUUAGUCCUCUUUCGUCGCUUUUUUAUCUCUCUCUCCGUUUGUUUGCUUUUACGUAGGUCGAGUUGCACCUCUCCCUCUCUCCCUGCCUCUCUCUCUUUCACCCUGCUGAGUCUCUAUUCCCGCUUUUCUCCUUUUCGUCGCUUCAGCUUCAGUGCGUCUUCUCUCCCCUCGUUCCCGUGCCGUUGCCCUUGCCGUUUGUUUUCUGAUUUGCCCCUUACCUUUCCACCGCAUCCGACACAGAUACACCCAUACGCACUCUGUCUAGCUCCGUGUCUCGUCGCACUCCAACCUCCCUGUCCGCCGCCGCUAAACUUCUCUUCGCCCCGAUACUUCCCCCGCGCGUGCAUGCGUGUGUGAGUGUGGUAGUGUUGGGACCAUUGUAAAGUGCUGUCACGGUUUGAAAGCAAGACCGAGAAGCACGGAGGGAAAGCAAAGAAGGUACACCGGAGUUGACGAGCUGCUGUGCUUUUUUUUUUCGCUCAUACCCGAAGAGAAGAAGGAAACUAAAGGACGCGGCGCCGUGCUCGCACUUUUUUUUUUGGUUUCCGUGUUUGUUUCCUCGCUGGUAUUCUUUUCCUUUCCGCUUCGUCUCUCCUUUUCUGCGGCCGCAACGCAGCUCGUUAUUGGCCAAAGCAGCGCAGAAGAACGGAACCGACCACAAGAGGGAGGAGACGCCUUCGUCACGAUACGUGUACAGGAUAGCGCUCGUUACACAGCUCCGCUAUUAUCACCUGUCCCGUGACACAGAGACCAAGGAAGCAAACAACGCAUCUUCCUCAGACUCGGUCUCGUUGUUUUUGUUUCGCGCUCUCUCCUUCUUACACGUAGAAAAAAUCCCCUAAAAACUACUCUCCCCCUCCCCUUACCACACUCGCAUACCGACGCGUACGUUCUUCGUAGACAAACGAAAGAAAGCCCGAAGGCGUGAGGAGAACCGAAGAGGACGGGAGAAAAAGCCACAAACCGAAACACACACGCGUCCUGCGCAUAUCAAAAGUAGACACUAACCAUUUCUUCUCUCAUAUGGUAAGACGGUGACAUUAUAUAUAUAUAUAUCUUUUCCUCAUUUCGAUUUUUUUCUUCUUGUUCUUCAUCGUUUGCGUUUGUUUUUCGGCGCGGAUCGGCGCUCUGCUUGCUCAUCGUCGGUUGCGGCCCCGCCCCCCCCCCCCCCCCUUCUUCCCUCCCUCCUUCCCUCUCUUUUUUUUUCAGUUUCGCUACCGUGUGGCUCCAUUGAGAGCGUUUGCUUAUUGAUCACUCUCUCUCUCAGCGCCUGCGUUUGGAAGUUUCUGUGCGGCUUUUCGGGCCCCAUUGGAUCCGGCGAGGUGUGCGCAUCCCUUUACUAAGUGUGUGUGUGUACGCCCUCACAAACUCGUCAACAUCCUUCGACGUGUACACUGAGCAAUCGCUUCUCCUUCACUCGACUGAUUGUUGUUCUUCGCCUUCUCACCCAUCACACUGUUUGCCUGUCUCUAUCCCCACUCUCCCCUUUUUUCUCUCCUGCCUUUGUGUGUUUGUCCUCCAUCCACGUAUUUUGGCGCCUUUGAAUAUAUCACGGACCCCCUCUCUUUCUCUCUUCCCUGCCACCCCGCCCCAUACUGCAGCACCGGUCUGAUUCGUUUGUUGGUUGUCCAUUCCCGCAUUCAGCGCAUUCUUUCUUUCUUCUUAUAUCGCUCUUGUUGACUCGCUGGCGGAACCGAAUCCCGUUCCCUUCGCCUUCUUCUUUCUCUGUGUGCAUUUCUGUUCAUCUGUUUUUUUUUUCUUCUAUCUUGUUUGUUUCGCUUUGUUGGCGAGGCUCGCACACACCCAGUGUUGCCCACGGCGCUAUCACGCUGCUCGCCACUUUUCAUUUUCCUCUCUUUCGUCUGCAAUUCUUCUGUUGAGGUGUUUUUUUCCUUUUCUCUCUUCUUUUUUUUGUUGUUGUUGUUUUCUUUGGUUUUGUGUUGCGCGUUGGCUUGAGUCGUCGUGGCUCUGUUUUGUUCGUGCCUGGUUGGUGUUCUCCCGCCCCAACGCUCUUCUCCGCUAUAUCGGUCUGCAGCUGUCUACAUCGUGUUUUUGUUUUGUACUUGCGUUUUUGUUUGUUGUCCUUUGUGCAAAGAGAGGGGCAAAGGCACGCACACGCGCGCGCACACACACACAUAACAAAGAGGGCAAACAAAAGAAAAAGAAACACACAAAAAGAGUCUUCACGGUGCCGCUGCCUCGCCGAGUAGAAAAAGAGAGGAAUUCCAUAUCGCUGGUUGUAGGUUAGUACACACUGUGACUACACCGCCGAAGUCCCUCCCUGCCUCCCUAUCCUGGUCUCUACAUCUUUCAUCGUCAUUGUCCCCAUCAGCCAAGGCCUUUUUUCGGCCUCUCUUUCAUUCGAGGCGUCUCCGUUUUUCCUUCUCUCUCGUUGUAUCUUACCCUCACUGUUGUCGUUCUCUCCCCUUCCCCUCGCCUUUCUCUGCCCCCCCCCCCCCCCUUUUCUCGUUUUUUGUCCCUUUUCAGUUCGACUUUGCCAUCUCUCCUUCCCUGCCCCCCUCCCUCUCUCUUACAUCAUAAUCUGUUUCGUUGGGUAUUCGCUCGCCCGUUUCUCUUUUCUUGUGCGUGUGCGUCUGUCCUCCUACCUCCCUUACUCACAGAAACACGCCUCUUUUUUCUUUGCUUCCUCUCGACGUUUUCUUUUUUGUUUGUAUCCUGAUCUUUCCUUUUGUCUCACUUCCCUCUUCCCCCAUUCCUUUACCUCUCACGCUGAUUUCGCGGUGCUGAUCUCGGCGUAUUUUUGCCGGUUGGCCGGCAUUCGGCACACGUGCAGCACUGUCUGUGUGCGUGUCUGUGGAUUCGCUGUGUGACAAGAGAGAUCGCGACCUUGCCCCUGCCCUCCGCACGCGCCCCGUCAAGUCGCUCCUCAUCAACGAUACUCAAAAGGACCAGCGUCAAACGAAAAAAAAAACACAGGCGGGCACGUCUGCGCAGCACCACGGUAACUGUGGUGUUUGACCAUAUACACAAAGUACAAAACAACUUCAACGGACUCCCACGACGAAAACGAAAAUGUUCCCGAUGGAUAUCGCCAACAGUGGUAACCAGCAGAUGGUGUACCGCAACAACCAACCCCCGCAACAGCGUCAGCAGCACCAGAUGCCGCAGCAUCAUCUGCAGCAGCAACACCAUCAGAUGCCGCAGCAGCAGAUGUUUCCCUCUCAGUAUGGAUAUCAGCAGCAGCCCUACCUGGCGUACCCCAGCACCGCAGGCCCAAACGCCGGGAAGGGAGCAAUGGACUUCAUACCGUCACAGCAAUACAUGCCUCAGCAGCAGAUGUUCCCGUACGGAUACACGCAGCAGCACCAGUCUCCGCUGAACCAGCAGUUCUUCCCUUCGGUGAUGGCCCCGCAGACUCAGCCGCCACCGCCGCCUAUGCGCUACAACCAGCAGGGCAACAGUAACAGCACCAACCAGUACAUGGGCGGUCACGCCGGUGGCCAUCCGCGUUACCAUGGCGGACGUGGACGCGGCGGCAUGCACAGCGGAUAUGGUGGCCAGUUCCAUCGACAAGUGCACAACAACUACUUCUACAACCAGCAGCACCACUAUAGCAGCAACAAUGCCGUGCCGGAAAAGACGCCGACCGUGCAUCUAAUCCACCCAGAAACAAAGAAGAUCAUCAGCAUCAAGCUGAACCGCAUUUACAGCACCAUGGCUGACAUUCGCCCUCAGCUUCAUCAGCAGUCGCACAGCAACGGCGCUUCGGCGAGCAACGUCCCUAGCGUCAUUGAGGACAGCAAGUCGGAAAAGACGAGUAAGAACGAGAGGCCAAAGGAGAAGAAUGACUCUUCGCUGGCGCCAAAGUUUGAUCCCAAGACGACGAAACUGGUGCUAUGCCUUAGCUUCCUCUGCCCCAAGGGGUGCAUGCACGGCAGCGGGUGCGAUAAGGUGCACAUCGCCGGUCUCGAGUACACGUGGCCACAAGUGGAGGCAAAGGAGGUGAAGAAGGAAGGUAAGAAGGCGUACUCCGCAGGCUUUUUUGUGCACUGCUACGACCCGACGUUGACUCGCUACUACAAAGUGCCGUCGGGGUCUGUCUACGUGACGAAGGGCAGCGCCGAAUACGUGAACAUGUUCAACGACCACGGCGAUAACUUUAAGAUGAAGUUCAAGCUGUGCGCGCCGAUUCUGGAGGGCGCCGAGUGCGAGAAAGGGGAAGAGUGCGAGGACAUCCACUGCUCCGUCUCCGACCUGGAGGCGGUGCGGGAGAACAGCGCAAACGCGACGCACAUCAACAACAUCGAGGCCAUGGCCGAUGUGCCGCGCCUGCCUGCUGACAUGACGGUACGCGUCUUCAAUCAGAACAGCUUUGACACGUGGCGAGACUACCCCGGUGGCAACCUACUCAUAACGGAGGGAGCCAAGGCGUAUCAGAAGCAAUACGAGCAGGAGAUGAACAGCGUGCCGACCCGAAAACGUAUGCAGCACUGCGCACACUUUCGUCUGAAGGACAUGUGCCGCCUCGGCGAGUCCUGCAGGUUCCUUCACGUGCUACCGACGGAACAAGAGCUCAAGGAGCGCAAGGAUGCCGAGGCAGCCGAAGCUGCCGCGCAGGCGGCUGCAAAGGCGAUGGAAGGGGUGGCCGGCGAGGGAAUCAUGAAGUCCGACGAGAAAGAUGCAGGGGUGGCGAUCGAGUAGGCGCCUGAUGGCAAGAGAUGAAAAAGAAGCGACUCAAAAGGAAAGAACCAGAUGGAGAAGGUCUACCGGCUCUAACCGCCGUCCUCUGACGAGAGUACAACACGCCACACAGACAAACGCGUUACCCCCAAACGCAGAUGAACUGUGUGCGUGUGCACUUCGUGCCUGGAUGCCGUUCGGUUGCUGCGCUAUUCUUGGAUUCCAGAGCCACUAACCCCACUUCGUCGUGUGGCUCAUGUCGCCGUGACGGUGUUCUAUUUUUGCUGUUGCACACAGCGCUUUCCCUUUUUUUUUCACUUUGGCAUGCGACGUUUUUUUUUUUUUGUAAGCGUGGUCCCUUUUUUCUUCUGCCUUCUGUCUUGCCUCUCUCGUAUCGUCUCGCUUCGGCCAUCCUCGUCAUCAUGUCUCAACGCUGCCUCCUCUUUUUUUUUCUGCAUGCUGUUUGCGCGGAAUCUGUGGAGGGGGACGGUGCGUGAUUGCUGCUUGUGGCUUGGAGCUGGCUAUGCGUGUGUGUACAUGCUCAAUCAUUGCCGGUUUCCCUGCGCCUCUUGCUUACUUUACAUUGACCGUGUCUCUCUCUUCCUGUUUAAAUGUUCGCUUCUUUUUGGAUUACUGUGCUCUCUCGUUUCUUUUUUUUUUCCGAUCAUCUUUUUCAUGCUGUCUCUCCGUUAGAUCUUUAUUCCGUUGUCCCCUCUUUCUCUCUUUCCCUGCUCGACGGACGAAGACGAACUACAAAGAAGAAAAACGGAAGGAAGAAACGCCGUGGAUGGCGCAUUGGCUGCGCGCGUGGCGCUGUGUUUGUGUCGUUUUGCGUUUCUCGCUCCCCCUCCCAACCGCCGUUUAAAGCCCCUCGCCACCCCUCUCUGUUUUCCCGCGUGCGGCUACUUUCUGCGCUCGCCGUUCACUCUCGCUCUCUCUCUUCUGUGUGUUUCUUGUUGUCUCUUCGUUGCGUGUGUCGACUCUCAGAUGGCGUUGACGUCAGCGCCGCCGUCGCGGCGUGUCGUUGUCCGGUGUGAACUUGCUCUUGGAUGCCGUGUAUGUGCGUGUGUGUGGGCAUGCGCACUGAUGGGUGUAUGGAAAGGAGCAACCUUCCGUUCCACGUUUGGGCUCCUUUCGGAUCGUUUGGUUUCUCUCUAGGCGGCCGGUGACCCAAAACACAUCGUUUCGGUGCCCCGCCCUCCCCCCUCCGUCGGCGCACCGCCCGAAAGACAAAGCGCAACAGGCACACCCACGAAAGGCGGCACACAUCCCCCAUCAUCACAUGUGCGCCAAACGCGUGACCGCGAGCAGGAAAAAGACGACGACCGCAGGGCGCGUGAUGUGUUCGCAGACUAGCUGGGGCUCCUUUUUUUUUUUGAGACGGCUUGCGUAGAGAUUGGCAUUAACGUAAUACAGCGUGUAGCGCUCUUGUUCCCCUUUACGCUGCCUUUUUCUUCUUUUCUGGGGGAAGGUUUUCGUUUUAGACGUGCCCUUUUCUCCACUUCUGCUUCUGGAAGAAGAAAACACACACCGCGCCACUCACCCAUGAAGAGCAAAGGGGAAAAAGGCAAUGAAAAGGAAGAAAACGUAUUCGGAGAGCAAACGGGCGAGGAGCGAAGCAAAAAAAGAAAAAAGAACCCAUAGAACACGAUGCGCACACCAGACAAACACACACAAGCACACACGGAAUGCGUGCAAUGAAAGCUCUCGCCAUACGCGUGCCUUUGUUCAAUUAGAAAAGGGAAGACUUUGUAUUUUGUUUUCUCAUCUGUGAGAUAAGCGGGUUUCCUCGUCUCCUUAUUCUUGUCUCGAGGCCCGUCGCUCUCCUUUCGCCUCCCCAUUUUUACUCUCGCGGCAAGAAAGUGCAAAGGGCUACUGCGUGGGCUGAAUGAAAAUGGUCGGGGAUUGGCUAGGUAGGCGCACACGCUCACCAGCACAUCAGCGAAACAGCAUCGGGGGAUUUUUUACUCGGCUUUUUUCCUUGUACGCUGUUCUACUUGUGCCUGUCCUCGCGACAGUUCACACGCGUAUACAUACGCGCUCACGCACGCAUGAAUCCUUUGUCACACACCCACCCUCUCUGCGUACAGGAUUCUAGGCACAUUCCAUGGGAGGCACAACAAAGAGAAACACGAGGAUGGAAAAAUCGAAAAAAAAAUGGAAAGAGCUCGAGCAAAUUUUAUCGAGGACCAUUGCUUAUCUGUAUUUAUAUGAGCGUGUGUGUGUGGGUGGACAGAAGCGUAUUGAGCAGCCUGGUGAUCUUUUUUUUUUGCUCUCUCCGUUGCUGUCCUCUUUUCACACCUCGUGUGCUUUCCGAUUGUCCGUCCACGCGUGUUACUCGCUGCUUGCUUCGUUGUGUACUUCCGGAGGUUUAUGCUAUGUCUCUGUGUCUCAGCGUGUGUGUGUGUGCGUGUCUGUGUGUGUGACCGUCAUCACCUAUAUGUACAGCUAUUCUGCUUCCUUUUCCCACACUUUUCGUCUGGCCUCCUUUCCUGUUUGGCUCUCCUUUGCUUCGCUUUUCUUUGCUGUAUAGUCUUUCAAGUUUAAAAGGUACCCUUCCCCGUUUUGUUCUGUUAUCUUUGCGCGUUUUGUUUCCAUACGCGCCUCUUUUUAGUUGUCUCUCUCGUUUUCUUCCUGUUUGUGCACACUCCCUCUCUCCUUUUCUGUCCCUCUUUCGCUUUCUUGCUGCCCUUUUUUUUUAUUUGGCGUGCCUGUGUUUCUGUGUUUGUCUGUCAUGUCUGCGUGUCUUUUUACCCUUUUCUUUUGUAUGGUAUUUCUCCGCUUGCGGUUUCCAACAGCCGUCUUCGUCUGUGUGGUUUCGACCUACUUUCCCGUAUCUCUGUUUUCUGUCACCUUCUUCAACGGGUUGUAUCUUUUUUUUUGCGCAGUUUUUUUUUUUGCGUGUGCUUUUUCUGUCGUCUGACUGACUGUCUGUCUGUCUGUCUGUGUGUGUGAGCGGCCAUGUGAGGGCUUCACUUUAUUGUGAGUGCCCUGAUUCGAUUCUUCUUUUUUUUUCGCGUGUGUGCGUUUAUGAGUUUUGUCCUUGUCUCUCCCCCUUUUUCUUCUUCGCGUGUCUUUUUGCGCUCUCUUCUUGAAUGAUUUCUUUUUAUGUUUUUUUUUUGUGUUCAGCUAACUCUCUCACUUUUCUCGAAUAUGAUGCGUCUUGCUCCUCAGCCCCUCCGCACACACUCUCUCCCCCAAAAUGCGCACCCCACCCGUCUCUCUGUCUGUCUUUGUGGCUCGUACUCUACGACACUCGAAGAUUCUUGUGGAACCCUGUCUUUUCCGCACUCUCUCUUCACCUUUUUUUUCUCUGUUCCUCACUUUCCCUCUUUCUUUUUUACUCGCUGUUCAACUUGACACCCUCACAAUGCAAAGUAAUGAUAGACGUGCUGUGUGCGCCAAAGGGUCAUCAUUCAUUGCCACGUGCGUUCCUUCGAACGGAGAAUGACGAACCGAUGCGCUGGCCAUAACCACCCACCCACCCACACACACACAAAUAGUGAAGAAGAGAGCUACCAAGCGCACUGCUUGCGCGCCUCCUCCCCCCUCCCCACUUCUCCAUUUCUUCCCGUUUGUUUUGCAUCUCUGUUCCUGUUGAGUGUUCAUGUGUAGUGCUCAUCUUCGGUUUUGGUUUGUUUCCUCCGUGCCUCUGUUGCUUCGCUUCAAACUGUGUUUUCCCCUCCCUUUCUUUUUUUCUGCAUCUUUUUUUUUCUUUUUCGUUUUUUUACAUGCUUUGAUUUUGUUUACUGCCGUGAAUGCCCCAUCCCCUUGUUGUGUUCCCAUACAACCUUUUUUUUUGUUGGUCAACCGUCUGCCUUUCUUGCCUAUUCCUUUCUCAGCUGCCCUGCCUCUCCCCUUCAUCCUUUCCAUUUUGUUCGUUUGUUUGUAUUUUUUUUUUUGCAUUUUAUGGUUCGGUUUCUCAUUGUCUUCCUUCCUCUGGCUGUGAGUCUUUUCCCGCGUCUCGUGGACCUGCAUUUCGUUUGCGCCUUUACUUGUUUUGCCCUUUCUUUCUGGCCUUUUGUUCAUUUUUUCUCUGCCCCCCCCCCCCCCACACACCCCUUUCUCUUGUAUGCGUGUUUGUAUGUACAUGUGUGUGUGCUCACGUACCGCUCUCUCCUCCCCACUUCGACCUUCAGCCUCGCUCCCCCUUCUACUUACUUUGUCUGAUAUCGUGCGUUGUGUUUUGCUCUCCGACUACCACCACCACUUUGGGCUCCCCUGCACCUUGUUGCCCCACCGCUUUUGUUCUUCUUGGGCGCCGCCAUUUCAAAAGAAUACGCAAGCGCCACGAGAGGGGGACGCGACACAGCGACGCAUGCGAGCAGGUGGAGAGCCGAACGCAGACAAACCAAACGCCACGACCAUCGAGAAAGCCUUUUUACAGCGCGCUACGUCAAUCAGACAGUCCGCGUGAGCGCCUGUCUGCGCCAUUACCCCUCUCUUGUCUACUUUCGAAGGCAGGAGGAGUAUAAGUGCACGCACGCGUGACGCGGAAGAAAGCGAAGAAUGCCGAGACGUAGCCGAAUCACCUCCUUCCUCCUCCCUCUCCCCCCACACACAGCAAACAUGCUCGGACACGCAACGCAUCGUUGCCGAGCACACUCUGAUGGGGGAAAAGCAACGUCGAACCCAACGUCCAUCGCACAUUGCAAUCGCCUCAUGAACUAUCGUCACAGGCGCAUCCGCGGCCCUUAGCCUACAAAAGGGAACGGGUCGACGAGGUCAUAAGCGAGGGGGAGGGGGUAACAAAAAAGACACAACAGACUGCGCACCAGUCGGAUACCUCGUAUCCCGGUUUCUUUAUUCACACAAACACACGCACAGAUACGCAGCUCUAAAGCUGGCGACAUCAUCGCGAGGCUGUACAGUUGCUUGUGUGAUGUGUCUCUUUCUUUCUGAGUAUGUAUGGAUGUCUUUUGCAUGGCCAUCCCCUUCGAAAUCGCUCCUUGCUCCACCUUGUUCUGCCUCUUUGCGAAAGGCAAAAAAAAAGGCGUGGCGCGUGCGCUUGCGCGGACGCUCUUCUACUUCGCGUUUGCUUACCGCGCUCGCGUACUUGGCCUUUUCUUCUUUUUCUCCUCGAUUUUGCCUACUUUUCGUUUGUGUUGCUUUUUGCUUGAUCUGAAACUGUGGGCUUCUCUAUAUAUGUAUAUGUUUUCUUUUCCACUCUGUUGCGUAUUUGUUUUGUUCCCUUUUUCCGGUUGACUCUUACCUGUGCGUUUUCUCGUUCCUCUUCGUUUUUUCGUUUCUGUGUAAGGUUAUGUUCACGUUUGUUCGUUUGACGGUUGCUUUUCUUGCACUAACUUGCUCAGCCUCCCUCUCGAACCCCUUCCCUCUCUUCUGUUCGCUUUCGCGCCAAAAGGUUUGCAUCCUAAAAUAGCCACUAUCACGGAAAAGUGUAGCGAAGAUGCGAACAGACUGACGUUCCAUAGGGUCUUUUGUCACCCUCUCUCUUGUUGCUAUUGUUCGCUGUGCCCCUCCUCCCCAGGUUGAGCUUCCACACCUUUUUUCUGCGAGCAAAGGAUGAACUGCUGUGCAACGCGCACGCCAUCGUACCUGCCUACUCAAGCGAUUUGUGUGCACUCUGCAGAGGCAAGAGCAUAGAAAGACACAGUGGUUUUCAAGAGGAGCACUAGUAACCGUCGAAAACGAGAACUAGAAGUCCUAAAAGACGUGACAAGGACAUCACUGGUGCCGCAACAACAAAAAAAGGAGAAAAGAUGUAACGGAGUGCAUCGAUAAUGUGAAGCGCUUCAUUAUCUGUUUGCCUGAGAAGCAAAACUAUACAACAAGACAUGAGAAAAGACAGUGGGCAAUCAUACCGCCGCCCUUGUCCUGAAAAGGAGGUGACCUACACACGCGUAUUCCUUCGUGUGUGUAUCCGCCGCAUCUUUGUGUUUUUUUUCCCUCUUCAGUCUUCUCAGUUUUUGGCCUAUAUGUAGAUGUGUCUCCCUUCUCUCUCCACUCGUUUCGGCUCUCCCAUAUACUCGUCCUGAUGCACCCCCUCCCCCGUUUCUCAAGUCUUUCGUUCUCAGCUAUUUUUUUCCCCUCUUCUGUUCAUUGUUCUUCAACAGUGCCAGAAUAUGAAAAAUAUAAGAAGCGGUGAAACGGCGAGGUAAAAGGGGGUUUGGAUUGAGCAAUAAGAAGGAAACAGUGCCGUGAAGGCGGCCACCCUAGUCUAGCAGAGGUCUCUCUGUGUAUCGGUUCGCUCUUCCAUCCGUGCGUUUGUUUCGUGCUGCACGUGCUUUCUUAUACAGGGCGGUACAAUGAGCACCGCCACGUCUCCGUCGGCGUACUCCUUUAAUUCGAAUAUUAAGAUAUAACAAAAUAAGACACUGCGACAAGGACGUGUUCCCUGUACGUGGAGCAAUGUUGUCGCGCUUUUUAUUGGCGCGUACUCUUUCUUCUGACUCUGUGUGCCUACACUUGUUGAUCGUGCUGUCUUCUUUUUUUUUAUCGAUUUGCUAG
This 12209-nucleotide unclassified non-coding RNA is filed under the name Leishmania donovani. RNAcentral describes it as "gene:LdHU3.36.1020(CDS-product:zinc_finger_protei n_family_member_putative)". Lineage: Eukaryota; Euglenozoa; Kinetoplastea; Trypanosomatida; Trypanosomatidae. The record is from RNAcentral.